GACGAACGCUGGCGGCGUGCUUAACACAUGCAAGUCGAACGGUAAGGCCCUUCGGGGUACACGAGUGGCGAACGGGUGAGUAACACGUGGGCAACCUGCCUCAUAGAGGGGAAUAGCCUUUCGAAAGGAAGAUUAAUACCGCAUAAGAUUGUAGCUUCGCAUGAAGUAGCAAUUAAAGGAGCAAUCCGCUAUGAGAUGGGCCCGCGGCGCAUUAGCUAGUUGGUGAGGUAACGGCUCACCAAGGCGACGAUGCGUAGCCGACCUGAGAGGGUGAUCGGCCACAUUGGGACUGAGACACGGCCCAGACUCCUACGGGAGGCAGCAGUGGGGAAUAUUGCACAAUGGGGGAAACCCUGAUGCAGCAACGCCGCGUGAGUGAUGACGGCCUUCGGGUUGUAAAGCUCUGUCUUCAGGGACGAUAAUGACGGUACCUGAGGAGGAAGCCACGGCUAACUACGUGCCAGCCGCCGCCGUAA
Molecule: ribosomal RNA, 476 nt
Filed under: uncultured bacterium
Lineage: Bacteria
Description: partial 16S ribosomal RNA
Rfam family: Bacterial small subunit ribosomal RNA
Source: RNAcentral